GGCCAUAGCUCAGGGACAGAGCAUCUGCUUUGCAUGCAAAGGGUCCUAGGUUCAAACUCCAGGUAGGGCUG
This is a non-coding RNA of Podarcis lilfordi (Lilford's wall lizard), 71 nucleotides long. The record is from the annotation of a GenBank genome assembly. Lineage: Eukaryota; Metazoa; Chordata; Lepidosauria; Squamata; Lacertidae.